RNAcentral lists this unclassified non-coding RNA (182 nucleotides) under uncultured Basidiomycota. Its description in RNAcentral is "sequence contains ITS2". The record is from RNAcentral. Lineage: Eukaryota; Fungi; Basidiomycota.
AAUCUCUCUCAGAACCUGAUUCCUCAAAAGGGGAUUCGGGAGGAUGCAUUGGCUCACCUUUGCUUCUCUGAAAUAGAUUGGUGUUUUGGCUGCGACUCACAAACCGGUCGUCGGUAUGAUACGUGUCUUACCUGCUUCCAACCGUGGCCAGCCCAGCCAGACAAGACGGAAUGUCAUAUGAA